RNAcentral lists this ribosomal RNA (459 nucleotides) under uncultured bacterium. Its description in RNAcentral is "SSU rRNA". It matches the Rfam family "Bacterial small subunit ribosomal RNA", at positions 26 to 518 of the family's 1533-position model. The record is from RNAcentral.
AGAAUCAACGCUGGCGGCGUGCCUAACACAUGCAAGUCGCACGAGAAAGGGUAGCAAUACCUGAGUACAGUGGCGCACGGGUGAGUAACACGUGAAUAAUCUACCUCCGAGUGGGGAAUAACUGAGAGAAAUCUUAGCUAAUACCGCAUAAUACCCACGGGUCAAAGCAGCAAUGCGCUUGGAGAGGAGUUCGCGGCAGAUUAGUUAGUUGGCGGGGUAAUGGCCCACCAAGACGAUGAUCUGUAUCCGGCCUGAGAGGGCGCACGGACACACUGGAACUGAAACACGGUCCAGACUCCUACGGGAGGCAGCAGUGGGGAAUUUUUGCGCAAUGGGGGAAACCCUGACGCAGCAACGCCGCGUGGAGGAUGAAGCCCCUUGGGUGUAAACUCCUUCGAUCGGGAAGAUAAUGACGGUACCGAUAUAAGAACGCCCGGCUAACUUCGCGCCAGCAGCCGC